Molecule: non-coding RNA, 558 nt
Organism: Pelobates cultripes (western spadefoot toad)
Lineage: Eukaryota; Metazoa; Chordata; Amphibia; Anura; Pelobatidae
Source: the annotation of a GenBank genome assembly
GGACCAAAUCUGGACACCAGAACGAAUACAUUAAGCUGUAGAGGUUCUGGUUACCAUACCAUCUCUAAGCAUCCAAUGUACUGCUACAGAGUGCGUUCCUUUACAGCUGUGGAUGAGGCUGGUGGCUGUAAUACAACUGCGAUCCACUUUUUAAACAAACUGUGAUGAACUAUGUAUCCCAUAAACCGUCAGGGCAUGAAAAUGAAUGGCUCGUGACUGUUGGGACCAUUUCCUACAAAGCUGACAACUGGAAUACAGCUCCCACAAACAUCUGCUGUUCACGUUUUAAAGGACCACUAUAAUGCCAGGAAAACAUACUCAUUUUCCUGGCACUAUAGUGCCCUGAGGGUGCCCCCACCCUCAGGGUCCUCAUCCAGCCGGGCUGAAGUGGGAGGAAGGGGUUAAACACACACUUUUCUCCAGCGCUGGGGACUCUCCUUCUUUGGCCGUCAUUGGCUGAAUGCACAUGCGCGGCAAGAGCCGCGCGCAUUCAGCCAGUCCAUAGGAAAGCAUUCUCAAUGCGUUCCUAUGAAUGCUGGCGUCUUCUCACUGUGAAAA